UACGAAGGGGGCUAGCGUUGUUCGGAAUUACUGGGCGUAAAGCGCACGUAGGCGGGUUGUUAAGUCAGGGGUGAAAUCCCGGAGCUCAACUCCGGAACUGCCUUUGAUACUGGGGAUCUUGAGUCCGGAAGAGGUGAGUGGAACUCCGAGUGUAGAGGUGAAAUUCGUAGAUAUUCGGAAGAACACCAGUGGCGAAGGCGGCUCACUGGUCCGGUACUGACGCUGAGGUGCGAAAGCGUGGGGAGCAAACAGG
RNAcentral lists this ribosomal RNA (253 nucleotides) under uncultured bacterium. RNAcentral's name for it is "partial 16S ribosomal RNA". It matches the Rfam family "Bacterial small subunit ribosomal RNA", at positions 524 to 776 of the family's 1533-position model. The record is from RNAcentral.